CCUCACUGCUCCACCCUUGCUGUGUGAACUUGAAGAAGUGACUUCUCUCCAAGCUUCAGUUUCCAGUCUGUAAAACGGAGCUGACACCCAGACUUUGUUCCUAGGGCUGUCGCAGGGGUUAAAUGAGAGCACCGUGGCGAUGUUCUUGGGCCAGUUCCUGGAAGGAAAGUAGCACAUUGCCCGGCACAGAGCAAACGCUGAGGAAAGUCACUUGGGGCUGUCUUCAGGCUGCAUCACAAAAUUCCUCCUUCAGCAAAGACACCAUCUGGCAAGCGCCCGGCAGUCUCCGCCAUCCUCUGUAGUUCUGCCAGCGUAUUACUGUUUUGUUUAGUUUUAAAAAUAUAGAUGACAUUUAUCGAGUACUCACUGUUAUUUCUCCCUUAAUUCUCUCCACAGACCCACGUGGUAGGCGCUGCCAUGAGCCCUAUUUUCCAGAUGAGGAAAAUUGAGGCUUAGAAAUAGUUAAGCGAGCCGUCCCAGAUCACAGAUCACAUGGCCAGGUUUGUGUUCUGAGGCUUAGUUGUCUGGGGCACGAGUGCUUGAAGAAGAGAAAAGCUCCCCGGGAUGCUUGCGCACGUGCUCCGGCAAGUCUGCAUCUGACUCUCAAGGCUGUUUUGUCACCUGAUCUCCCAGUGACUCUGAGAUGUGUGAGGAGUGCGGCUCAAGGAGUGGGGAGCUCAGGGACAUGCCUACUGCCACUCAGCAGGUGCCCAUUGGCUUUUGAGUGCGUGACUUCUGCAAUAAAGGAGGAAUUGAAGACGGGCUCAGAG
Molecule: non-coding RNA, 770 nt
Organism: Macaca mulatta (Rhesus monkey)
Lineage: Eukaryota; Metazoa; Chordata; Mammalia; Primates; Cercopithecidae
Source: RefSeq, a predicted model, not a curated record